RNAcentral lists this transfer RNA (69 nucleotides) under Dipodomys ordii (Ord's kangaroo rat). It matches the Rfam family "tRNA". From Rfam's summary of the family: Transfer RNA (tRNA) molecules are approximately 80 nucleotides in length. Their secondary structure includes four short double-helical elements and three loops (D, anti-codon, and T loops). The record is from Rfam by way of RNAcentral. Lineage: Eukaryota; Metazoa; Chordata; Mammalia; Rodentia; Heteromyidae.
GGGAAAGUGGCUCAGUGGUAGAGUGCUUGCCUUGCAUGCAUGAGGCCUGGGUUCGAUUCCUCAGCACCA